RNAcentral lists this ribosomal RNA (252 nucleotides) under uncultured bacterium. Its description in RNAcentral is "partial 16S ribosomal RNA". It matches the Rfam family "Bacterial small subunit ribosomal RNA", at positions 524 to 776 of the family's 1533-position model. The record is from RNAcentral.
UACAGAGGGUGCAAACGUUGUUCGGAAUUACUGGGCGUAAAGCGUGCGCAGGCGGUUAUGUAAGACAGUUGUGAAAUCCCCGGGCUCAACCUGGGAACUGCAUCUGUGACUGCAUAGCUAGAGUACGGUAGAGGGGGAUGGAAUUCCGCGUGUAGCAGUGAAUGCGUAGAUAUGCGGAGGAACACCGAUGGCGAAGGCAAUCCCCUGGACCUGUACUGACGCUCAUGCACGAAAGCGUGGGGAGCAAACAGG